UACGUAGGGCGCAAGCGUUGUCCGGAAUUAUUGGGCGUAAAGAGCUCGUAGGCGGCUUGUCACGUCGGUUGUGAAAGCCCGGGGCUUAACCCCGGGUCUGCAGUCGAUACGGGCAGGCUAGAGUUCGGUAGGGGAGAUCGGAAUUCCUGGUGUAGCGGUGAAAUGCGCAGAUAUCAGGAGGAACACCGGUGGCGAAGGCGGAUCUCUGGGCCGAUACUGACGCUGAGGAGCGAAAGCGUGGGGAGCGAAC
This 250-nucleotide ribosomal RNA is filed under the name uncultured bacterium. RNAcentral describes it as "partial 16S ribosomal RNA". It matches the Rfam family "Bacterial small subunit ribosomal RNA", at positions 524 to 773 of the family's 1533-position model. The record is from RNAcentral.